UGAACAUUUUCAGUGGGAGGUUGUUGGAUAUUACCUCCAGUUUGAUUUGAAGGAUGAGCAGCAGUCAUAUGAUGAAAAAGUGCAGCAUAAUUAUUGAAAGAGUGCUUUGUAGGAUCAGUGAAGGAUAUCAUUCAAGUAGACAAAUGUGGAAGGAUACUCAAGGAAUUAUAUGUGAAAGGAUAACCACUUUCUCUUUGUGUCUGAUGAAAAGAAAUGAUGAAAUACGUAUAAG
Molecule: long non-coding RNA, 232 nt
Organism: Mytilus trossulus (common blue mussel)
Lineage: Eukaryota; Metazoa; Mollusca; Bivalvia; Mytilida; Mytilidae
Exons: 3
Source: RefSeq, a predicted model, not a curated record